UGAAAGUAACUCCACUAUCUCAGUGCCUCCU
RNAcentral lists this non-coding RNA (31 nucleotides) under Rattus norvegicus (Norway rat). Lineage: Eukaryota; Metazoa; Chordata; Mammalia; Rodentia; Muridae. The record is from RNAcentral.